AAGCGGCAACAGCUCAAAUUUGAAAUCUGGCUUCGGCCCGAGUUGUAAUUUGUAGAGGAAACUUUUGGUGAGGCACCUUCUGAGUCCCUUGGAACAGGGCGCCAUAGAGGGUGAGAGCCCCGUAUAGUCGGAUGCCGAUCCAAUGUAAAGUUCCUUCGACGAGUCGAGUAGUUUGGGAAUGCUGCUCAAAAUGGGAGGUAAAUUUCUUCUAAAGCUAAAUAUAGGCCAGAGACCGAUAGCGCACAAGUAGAGUGAUCGAAAGAUGAAAAGCACUUUGAAAAGAGGGUUAAAUAGCACGUGAAAUUGUUGAAAGGGAAGCGUUUGUGACCAGACUUGCGCCGUUCCGAUCAUCCGGUGUUCUCACCGGUGCACUCGGGGCGGCUCAGGCCAGCAUCGGUUUUGGUGGGGGGAUAAAGGUUCAGGGAACGUAGCUCCUCCGGGAGUGUUAUAGCCCUGGGCGUAAUGCCCUCGCUGGGACCGAGGUUCG
This 487-nucleotide ribosomal RNA is filed under the name Sordaria fimicola. RNAcentral's name for it is "eukaryotic LSU rRNA". It matches the Rfam family "Eukaryotic large subunit ribosomal RNA", at positions 96 to 595 of the family's 3401-position model. Lineage: Eukaryota; Fungi; Ascomycota; Sordariomycetes; Sordariales; Sordariaceae. The record is from RNAcentral.